Molecule: long non-coding RNA, 5719 nt
Filed under: Sus scrofa (pig)
Lineage: Eukaryota; Metazoa; Chordata; Mammalia; Artiodactyla; Suidae
Description: lncRNA (ENSSSCG00045029199.1)
Source: RNAcentral
UUAGGUUGAUCUGGCAUUGCUGCAGCUGUGGUGUAAGUUGCAGCUCAGAUUUGAUCCCUGGCCCAGAAACCUCUAUGUACCAUGGCUGUGGUCAAAACAGAAAAAAACCGAAAUAAUUUGCUGUGAACAUUGAGGUGCAUAGAUCUUUUUGCAUUAGAGUUUUCAUCUUUUCCAGAUGUAUGUCCAGAAGUGGGAUUGCUGGAUCAUAUGCUAACUUUAUUUUUAGUUUUUUAAGGAAUUUCCACACUUUUUUCCAAAGUCGCUGCAUCAAUUUACAUUCCCACCAACAGUGUAGAAGGGUUCCCCUUUCUCCACACCCUCUCCAUCAUUUUCUACUUGGAGACUUUUUGAGGGUGGCUGUUGUGAUCAGUGUGAGUGAUACCUCAUUGUUUUGAUUUGCAUUUCCCUAGAGAUAUGAAGCAUCUUUUCAUGUGCCUGUUGGCCAUUAGUAUGUCUUCUUUGGGGGAAUGUCUAUUUAGGUCCUCUGCUCAUUUUUUGACUGGGGUCUUUGUCUUUUUGACUGAGCUGUAUGAGCUCUUGCUGUAUUUUGGAAAUUAAGCCCUCGUCAGUUACACUGUUUGCAAGUAUUUUCCCUAGUACGUAGGUCAUCUUUUCAUUUUGUGGAUGAUUUCCUCUGCUGUGCAAAAGCUUAUAGGUUUGAUUGGGUUCCAUUUGUUUAUUUUUUGCUUUUAUUUCUUUUGCCUUAGGUGACUGAUCUAAGAAAAUACUGCCAUGAUUUAUGUCAGAGAAUGUUUUGCUUAUAUUUACUUUUAGGAGUUUUAUAUCAUCACUUCUUAUAUUUAAGUCUUGAAGCUGUUUGGAGUUUAAUUUUUGUGUGUGUGUGGUAUGAGGGAGUCUUCUAACUCUGUUGAUUUACAUGCAACUGUUCAGCUUUGCCAACUCCACCAGCUAAAGAGACUGUCUUUUCUCCAUUGUAUAUUCUUGCCACCUUUGUCAAAGAUGAAUUGACCAUAGGCGUAUGGGUUUAUUUCUGAACUUUCAGUUCUGUUCCAUUGAUAUAUAUUUCUCUUUCGGGGCCAGUACCACACUGUUUUGAUUACUGUAGCUUUAGAGUAUUGUCUGACGUGCGGGAGAAUUAUGUUUCCAGCUUUGUUCUUUUUCUUCUGGACUGUUUUGACAAUUCUAGGCCUUUUAUUAUUCCAUAUAAAUUUUAGGAAUAUUGUUCUAGUUCUGUGAAAAAUGUCAUGGGUAAUUGGAUCAGAAUCUCAUUAAAUCUGUAGGAUGCUUUGGGUUGUAUGGCCAUUUGAACAGUAUUAAUUCUUCCAAUCCACGAGCAUGGGAUAUCUUUCCAUUUCUUUGAAUUGUCUUUGAUUUCCUUUAUCUUUGCCUUAUAGUUCUCACCAUGUAAGCCCUUUACCUACUUGGUUAGAUUUAUUCCUGGAUUUAUUUAUUUAUUUAUUUAGUUUUGUUUUUAUGUGAUUUUUUUUUUAACUUUCUGGUAUUUCCUUGUUAGUGUAGACAAAUACAGCAUGUUUCUGUAUAUUAAUCUUGUAUCAUACUACCUUGGUGAUUCAUUUGCCAGUGUUAAUAACUUCUGUGUAGAAUCUUUAGGGUUUUCUCUGUAAUACAGUAUGUCAUCUGCAUGUAAUGACAAUUUUACCUCUCCCAUUCUAAAUUGUAUGCCUGUUCUUUUUCUUGUCUGAUUGCUGCGGCUAGCAUUUCCAAUAAUAUGUCAAAUAGAAAAGGUGAGAGUGGUCAUCCUUGUCUUGUUCCUGCAUUUAGUGGGAAGGCUUUCAUAUUCGCCCUGUUGAUUAUUGUGUUGGCUAUGAGUUUGUCAUAUGUAGCUUUUAUUAUGUUGAGAUACAUUUCCUCUAUACCCACUUUAGUCAGAGUUUUUAUGAAUGAUGGAUGUUGAAUUUUAUCAAAUGCUUUUUCUGCAUCUAUUGAGAUAAUCAUGUGGUUUUUGUCUUUUGUUGGUGUGGCAUAUCACUUUGAUCUGAAUAUGUUGAGUGUAUAUAUUCAUCAAAGAUACUGGACUAAAAUUUUGGGUUUUGGUAGUAUCUUUGGUUUGGGUGUAACGGUGAUCGUGGCUUUGUAGAAUGACUUUGGCAGUGUUCCCUCCUUUUCAGUCUUUUGGGAGAGUUUUUAAAAAAGGUAAGUAUAAGUUGUUCUUCGUAUGUUUGGUAGAAUUCCCCAGUGAACCAUCUGGGCCUGGACUUUGUUUUUAGGGAGUUUUAAUGUUCCUGAGUCUAUUUCACUUUUAGAGUUAACUCUGUUCAGAUUAUCUGUUUCUUUUUGAUUCAGCUUUGGGAGGCUGUAUGUUUCUAGAAACUUGUAUAUUCCUCAUAGAUUGUCCAUUUUGUUGGUUUAUAACUGUUAACAGUAUUGCCUUAUGAUUUUUUUCUAUUUUUAUCUCUUAUUUAUUAUUAUCUCUCUUUUGUUCUUUGUGAGCCCAGCCAGAAGUUUGUCAGUUUUGUUUGUUCAGAAAACUAGCUGUUGGCCUUAAAGAUUUUUUCCUUUUAUUAAUCUCUAUAUUAUAUUUCCUCUCUGAUAUUUAUUCUUUCUUUCCUUCUGCCGACUUUACGCUUUGUUUAUUCUUUUUCUAAUUCUUUGAGAUGGUGAUUAGAUUAUUCGAGAUUUUCCUUCUUUUUGAGAAUAGCUGCUCUUACUAUGAACUUCCCUCUUUCCCUCUUAGGACUGCCGUUGCUGCAUCUCAUGGAUUUUGUAUGGUUUUUUCUUUUUGCUCUUUAGGGCCACAUCUGCAGCAUAGGGGUCUAAUCGGAGCUGUAGAUGCUAGCCUGCACCACAGCCACAGCAACACCAGAUCCUUAACCCACUGAGCGAGGCCAGGGAUCAAACCUGUGUUAUGGAUACUAGUUGGGUUUGUUAACACUAAGCCACCACGAGAACCUCGUGGUUCCCAAAUUUGUCUUUUUAAAGUGUGAUAUGCAAUUAAUAUAUUAGUAAGAUGUCUUUUUUGUUUGUUUGUUUGUUUUUUUUUUUUUGGCUUCCCUGUGGCAUAUGGAGUUCCUCACCCAGGGAUCAGAUCCGAGCCACAGUCACAACCUAAGCCACAGGUGCGGCGACACCAGAUCCCCAACCCACUGUGCCAGGCUGGGAUCAAACCUGUGUCCCAGUGCUCUCAGGACUGCUGAUCCCAUUGCGCCUCAGCAGGAACUCCCGCGUGCAGGUUUUAAAACAACCACUCUCUUUAUUAAGCAAGUAGUGUCACAAGCUGUUUUUAUCUUGGGCAUAUUAGAGUUAAAACCUUAGAUAAACCAUAAUAUCAAAUUAAAUGCUACACAGAUAAAACAGCCACCACCACCAGUGCAGAUGACAUUAAGCGUAUCAGCAGCUGUCUGGAAUUAUGGUGGUAUUUAGGGCCGCUAGCGAAUCUCUGCACACUGAGUCCAUUUCUCAGGAAUUAUUCCUCCUACCGUGACUUUGCCACUGGACUAGUUUUUCCUUUUUUUUUUUUUUUUGUCUUUUUGCCAUUUCUGGGGCCGCUCCCGCUGCCUACGGAGGUUCCCAGGCUAGGGGUCGAAUGGGAGCUGUAGCCACCGGCCUACACCACAGCAACACGGGAUCCCAGUCAUGUGUACAACCUACAUCCCAGCUCACAGCAAUACCGGAUCCUUAACCCACUGAGCAAGGGCAGGGAUCGAACCUGCAACCUCGUGGUUCCCAGUCGGAUUUGUUAACCUCUGCGCCACGAUGGGAACUCCGCCACUGGACUAGUUUCUACUCCAGAGACACCUGUUGGAGAUGAGCUUACUCACCCCAACUGCUUAUACACCUCUUUCCCUUAGAGCUCUGUCUCAGACCCAAAGAGGCAAACAUCCACCUGAUUCCUUCCUGCUGCCAGAUCCGUGGGCUCAGUGUGCUGUGCCAGUUGCGGGCGGGGGGUGUAGGCACACCCAGUCCCUGAGAUACGUUUGUGGUUCUGACCUACCAGCUGCUCCCAGAACUGCAGUAUCCAUUCAGAUGUCGUGGAGAGACAGUGCAUGCUUGGGGAGGUGGGAAUGUUUCUGGGAAAAAACACUGUUCCCAUCAGGAACUGCAAUUCCUAUUCCUAAAGGACGUGGCCACAGUUACGUAGAGAGUGCGUCCAUGACCCAUGACGGAAGCCAGUGUUUAACAUGGAUGAAACGGGACGUGCUGAGGUCUCACACUUGCUGAAAAUGUUUUCAUUUGCCUGUUUUCUCACUGUUUCUAUGCCUCAGUGAGAUGUUUGUGUGUUUGCCCAUUUCCUAACUCUAUUUCUGUUCUCACGAUUGUGGAUCUAGCAUUCUCUAUACAUUCUGUUACUCCCUUGGCAGAUGUGUGGUAUGCAGAUAUUUUCUAUUAUACACCUUUAAAAAAAAAAUUUUUUUUUUUUUUGUCUUUUUAAGGCAUAUGGAGGUUCCCAGGCUAGGGGUCGCAUUGAAGGGGCAGCCACCAGCCUACGCCACAGCCUCAGCAACGGGAUCCAAGCCGUGUCUGCGACCCACACCACAGCUCGUGGCAACGCUGGAUCCUUAACCCACUGAGCGAGGCCAGGGAUUGCAGCUCAUCCUCACGGAUGCUGGUCAGAUUCAUUUCCACUGCGCCACAGUUGGAAUUCCUUAAGAAAAAAAAAUGUUAGCACGGCUUUUCACAGACCAAAACUUUAGGUUUUCUCAUGUCCAGUUUACCCUUUUUUUUUUUUUUUUUCUCUCUUAUGAAUUGUGUUUCUGGUGCCACGUCUAAGAAUUCUUCCCCAAGUCCUAGAUCCUGACUUUUCGUCUGUGUGUCUCUUGUCUUGCAGAGUUUUAUACUUUCACAUUUCAGGCUUUGAGAAAAUAUGUGUAUAGAUGUGAAAUUUAGGUGGAGAUUCCUUUUUUCCCCCUACUAUGAAUAUUCCAUUGAUGUAGCACCAUUUUUUGAAAAUCCUGCCUUCAUUAAAUUACCUUAGUAGCUUAGUCAGAAAUCAGCUGGAAGCACAGUUAACCCUUAAACAAUGCAGAGGGCUAGGGCAGUGACCACCCCAAGCAGAGAAAAAUCCAUGUAUAACUUUAUAGCUGACUCUCUGUACCCAGGGUUUUGCAUCCACAGACUCAGUCAGGCUCAGAUCCUAUAAGACUACACUAGUAUUUAUUGGGGGGAAAAAAAGCAUAUAUACUGAACCUGCAGACCUUAAACUUGUUAUUCAAGGGUCAGUGGUACUGUGAUUAGCUAAUUUUUUUUCUCCAUUCUGUUCCAUUGGUCUCAAUGUCUGUCACUCCACCAAUACCAAAGAGUGGCUGUUACUACUUUAGGAAUCUUGAGAUGAUGUGGAGUGAUUCCAGCCACUUGAGUAUUUUUCAGAUACUCUCAUCCUUCUGUUUCUUUUUUCUUUCCACAUUGAUUUUAGAAUGAUCUGAAGUGUACAGGAAAAAAGCUUUCUGUAGAUGAGAAAAUGCCUUAACUGUGUGUUUCAGUUUGGGGCGGUCUGACAUCUCUGUGCCGUGACCUCAGUCACUGAACAAUGUUUGUUUCUCUAACAAGUCAGUAAACGUGUUUCAUUAAGAGGACCACGUUUUGGGAGUUCCCCUUGUGGCUCAGCGAUAAUGAAUCUGACCAGCAUCCAUGAGGACUCGGGUCUGACCCCUGGUCUCUCUCAGUGGGUUAAAGGAUCCGGCGUUGCCCUGAGCUGUGGUGUAGGUCACAGACAAGGCUCAGAUCCCGCACUGCCGUGGCUGUGGUGUAGGCUGGCAGUUGCAGCUCCAGGUUGACCGCUAGCCUGGGAACUUGCAUAUGC